AAAAUUUCAAUAUUUCUAACCCCUGCAGUUUAAGCUGUGUUAAAUCUCUGUCAGGACAGAUUAAGUACAAAAAAGUAAUUUAUAUUGCAUAUGCGCAGUUUGAUAUUCAUAUUGGGUUGAAAUUUGUCUAAAAAUGUGUAUUCUGGUGCUCCCAAUCAUUCUACGAAAAUUCCAUUUCAAUACUAGAUCAUCCAGUCGAAAUAUUUAGUGGUACCUCUUAGCA
This is a non-coding RNA of Cinara cedri, 223 nucleotides long. The record is from the annotation of a GenBank genome assembly. Lineage: Eukaryota; Metazoa; Arthropoda; Insecta; Hemiptera; Aphididae.